RNAcentral lists this small RNA (28 nucleotides) under Bombyx mori (domestic silkworm). RNAcentral describes it as "ovarian small RNA-7146". The record is from RNAcentral. Lineage: Eukaryota; Metazoa; Arthropoda; Insecta; Lepidoptera; Bombycidae.
UCCAAUAAUGAGCCCUGCCUAUAUUUGA